UGGGGAAUUUUGGACAAUGGGCGCAAGCCUGAUCCAGCCAUUCCGCGUGCAGGAUGAAGGCCCUCGGGUUGUAAACUGCUUUUGUACGGAACGAAAGGGCCUAGGCUAAUACCUUGGGCUCAUGACGGUACCGUAAGAAUAAGCACCGGCUAACUACGUGCCAGCAGCCGCGGUAAUACGUAGGGUGCAAGCGUUAAUCGGAAUUACUGGGCGUAAAGCGUGCGCAGGCGGUGAUGUAAGACGGAUGUGAAAUCCCCGGGCUCAACCUGGGAACUGCAUUCGUGACUGCAUCGCUGGAGUGCGGCAGAGGGGGAUGGAAUUCCGCGUGUAGCAGUGAAAUGCGUAGAUAUGGCGGAGGAACACCGAUGGCGAAGGCAAUCCCCUGGGCCUGCACUGACGCUCAUGCACGAAAGCGUGGGGAGCAAACAGGAUUAGAUACCCUGGUAGUCCACGCCCUAAACGAUGUCAACUGGUUGUUGGUCCUUCACUGGAUCAGUAACGAAGCUAACGCGUGAAGUUGACCGCCUGGGGAGUACGGCCGCAAGGUUGAAACUUAAAUGAAUUGACGGGGUCAUAGCUGUUUCCU
Molecule: ribosomal RNA, 586 nt
Filed under: uncultured bacterium
Lineage: Bacteria
Description: partial 16S ribosomal RNA
Rfam family: Bacterial small subunit ribosomal RNA
Source: RNAcentral